UUCCGGUUGAUCCUGCCGGAGGUCAUUGCUAGUGGAGUCCGAUUUAGCCAUGCUAGUUGUACGAACUUAGAUUCGUAGCAGAUAGCUCAGUAACACGUGGCCAAACUACCCUACAGAGCACGAUACCCUCGGGAAACUGAGGCUAAUAGUGCAUACGGCUCUCCUGCUGGAACUGCAGAGAGCUCGAAAUGUUCCGACGCUGUAGGAUGUGGCUGCGGCCGAUUAGGUAGACGGUGGGGUAACGGCCCACCGUGCCAGUAAUCGGUACGGGUUGUGAGAGCAAGAGCCCGGAGACGGUAUCUGAGACAAGAUACCGGGCCCUACGGGGCGCAGCAGGCGCGAAACCUUUACACUGCACGCCAGUGCGAUAAGGGGACUCCAACUGCGAGGGCAUAUAGUCCUCGCUUUUCACUACCGUAAGGUGGUAGUGGAAUAAGUGCUGGGCAAGACCGGUGCCAGCCGCCGCGGUAAUACCGGCAGCACGAGUGAUGACCGCUAUUAUUGGGCCUAAAGCGUCCGUAGCUGGCCACGCAAGUUCGUCGGGAAAUCUCCCCGCCUAACGGGGAGGCGUCCGGUGAAAACUGUGUGGCUUGGGACCGGAAGAUCCAGAGGGUACGUCCGGGGUAGGAGUGAAAUCCUGUAAUCCUGGACGGACCACCGGUGGCGAAAGUGCUCUGGAAAGACGGAUCCGACGGUGAGGGACGAAAGCUCGGGUCACGAACCGGAUUAGAUACCCGGGUAGUCCGAGCUGUAAACGAUGUCUGCUAGGUGUGCCACAGGCUACGAGCCUGUGGUGUGCCGUAGGGAAGCCGAGAAGCAGACCGCCUGGGAAGUACGUCCGCAAGGAUGAAACUUAAAGGAAUUGGCGGGGGAGCACUACAACCGGAGGAGCCUGCGGUUUAAUUGGAUUCAACGCCGGG
Molecule: ribosomal RNA, 920 nt
Filed under: uncultured archaeon
Lineage: Archaea
Description: bacterial SSU rRNA
Rfam family: Archaeal small subunit ribosomal RNA
Source: RNAcentral